This 253-nucleotide ribosomal RNA is filed under the name uncultured bacterium. RNAcentral's name for it is "partial 16S ribosomal RNA". It matches the Rfam family "Bacterial small subunit ribosomal RNA", at positions 524 to 776 of the family's 1533-position model. The record is from RNAcentral.
UACGCAGGGUGCAAACGUUAUUCGGAAUCACUGGGCGUAAAGGGUGCGUAGACGGUAUGUUACGUUUGUUGUUAAAGGCUCUGGCCUAACCGGAGUAUUGCGAUGAAAACUGGCAUGCUAGAGGGUGAGAGAGAGAAGUGGAAUUCCUGGAGUAGCGGUAAAAUGCGUAGAUCUCAGGAGGAACACCAAUGGCGAAGGCAGCUUCUUGGAUCAUUCCUGACGUUGAGGCACGAAAGCGGGGGGAGCAAACAGG